GGCGGACGGGUGAGUAAUGCUUGGGAAUAUGCCUUAUGGUGGGGGACAACAGUUGGAAACGACUGCUAAUACCGCAUGAUGUCUUCGGACCAAAGUGGGGGACCUUCGGGCCUCACGCCAUAAGAUUAGCCCAAGUGGGAUUAGCUAGUUGGUGAGGUAAUGGCUCACCAAGGCGACGAUCCCUAGCUGGUUUGAGAGGAUGAUCAGCCACACUGGGGCUGAGACACGGCCCAGACUCCUACGGGAGGCAGCAGUGGGGAAUAUUGCACAAUGGGCGCAAGCCUGAUGCAGCCAUGCCGCGUGUGUGAAGAAGGCCUUCGGGUUGUAAAGCACUUUCAGUAAGGAGGAAAGGUUAGUCACUAAUAUUGGCUAGCUGUGACGUUACUUACAGAAGAAGCACCGGCUAACUCCGUGCCAGCAGCCGCGGUAAUACGGAGGGUGCGAGCGUUAAUCGGAAUUACUGGGCGUAAAGCGUAC
RNAcentral lists this ribosomal RNA (477 nucleotides) under uncultured Pseudoalteromonas sp. RNAcentral describes it as "bacterial SSU rRNA". It matches the Rfam family "Bacterial small subunit ribosomal RNA", at positions 97 to 570 of the family's 1533-position model. Lineage: Bacteria; Pseudomonadati; Pseudomonadota; Gammaproteobacteria; Alteromonadales; Pseudoalteromonadaceae. The record is from RNAcentral.